RNAcentral lists this ribosomal RNA (403 nucleotides) under bacterium. RNAcentral's name for it is "partial 16S ribosomal RNA". It matches the Rfam family "Bacterial small subunit ribosomal RNA", at positions 355 to 776 of the family's 1533-position model. The record is from RNAcentral.
UGGGGAAUAUUGCACAAUGGGGGAAACCCUGAUGCAGCGACGCCGCGUGAACGAAGAAGGUAUUCGUAUCGUAAAGUUCUGUCCUAUGGGAAGAUAAUGACAGUACCAUAGAAGAAAGCUCCGGCUAAAUACGUGCCAGCAGCCGCGGUAAUACGUAUGGAGCGAGCGUUGUCCGGAAUUAUUGGGCGUAAAGGGUACGCAGGCGGUUUAAUAAGUCGAAUGUUAAAGAUCGGGGCUCAACCCCGCAAAGCAUUGGAAACUGAUAAACUUGAGUAGUGGUGAGGAAAGUGGAAUUCCUAGUGUAGUGGUGAAAUACGUAGAUAUUAGGAGGAAUACCAGUAGCGAAGGCGACUUUCUGGACACAAACUGACGCUGAGGUACGAAAGCGUGGGGAGCAAACAGG